UCCCAGACUCCUACGGGAGGCAGCAGUGGGGGAUAUUGCACAAUGGGGGAAACCCUGAUGCAGCGACGCCGCGUGGGUGAAGAAGCGCCUCGGCGCGUAAAGCCCUGUCAGCAGGGAAGAAAAUGACGGUACCUGAAGAAGAAGCCCCGGCUAACUACGUGCCAGCAGCCGCGGUAAUACGUAGGGGGCAAGCGUUAUCCGGAUUUACUGGGUGUAAAGGGAGCGUAGACGGCGAAGAAAGUCUGAAGUGAAAGCCCGCGGCUUAACCGCGGAACUGCUUUGGAAACUUUUUUGCUGGAGUACCGGAGAGGUAAGCGGAAUUCCUAGUGUAGCGGUGAAAUGCGUAGAUAUUAGGAGGAACACCAGUGGCGAAGGCGGCCUGCUGGACGACAACUGACGGUGAGGCGCGAAAGCGUGGGGAGCAAACAGGAUUAGAUACCCGUGUACA
RNAcentral lists this ribosomal RNA (448 nucleotides) under uncultured bacterium. RNAcentral's name for it is "bacterial SSU rRNA". It matches the Rfam family "Bacterial small subunit ribosomal RNA", at positions 329 to 794 of the family's 1533-position model. The record is from RNAcentral.